UAAAAAGCUCCUAAUUAGUUGCAUCCAGUCAACACCUCCAACUAAAGCAACCAGAAAAGUGGUUUUAAUGCAAAACAAUAAAAUACUUAUCAGGAUGUUGCACUUCCACGUGUUUGUAAUAUAAGUAUCCCUAUUCUAUGACCAUGAAAUGUUUAAAGAACGGUUAAGAGCAAAAGAUAACAUGAACUAGGCUUCCCAAAAUAAGUGUAGCAAACUAACAGAGAGUGGAUAUGCAUAAGCAAACAGUCUUGAUUUGAAGAUUCACAUUAUUCCAUCCCAAUCCCAGAUGUAUAAACACUUAAUUAUGCUGGAUAUCUGUAAUUAUAGAAUAAAUUAUCUUUCUCAUUAAGAGGAGGGUUCAGAACAGCCCAGAUGUAUAAACACUUAAUUAUGAUGGAUCUCUGUAAUUAUAGUAAUAAAUUAUCUUUCUCAUUAAGAGGAGGGUUCAGAACAGAAAAUCAACAUGUUAAGUACAUUUCCUUUUGGAGUAAUAA
RNAcentral lists this long non-coding RNA (494 nucleotides) under Nicotiana benthamiana. RNAcentral's name for it is "long non-coding RNA (NBEN_LNC025487)". The record is from RNAcentral. Lineage: Eukaryota; Viridiplantae; Streptophyta; Magnoliopsida; Solanales; Solanaceae.